This is a long non-coding RNA of Capsicum annuum, 1817 nucleotides long. RefSeq lists it as uncharacterized. The transcript is spliced from 2 exons. The record is from RefSeq and is a predicted model, not a curated record. NCBI's taxonomy places the organism in Eukaryota, Viridiplantae, Streptophyta, Magnoliopsida, Solanales, Solanaceae.
GUAGAAUAAUAUGGAUAAUGAUACAGAAGAAUGAGCAACCCCUGAGAAAUUUUGGAUAAUAUAUUUUUUCUUGAAAUUGAGAAUUGAUAAGAAAAAUAUUAUAAUUGAAAAUUGCUCAUGUAGGUGAAAGUUGUAUGCUUAGGCAUUAUGUACUCUCCACUAAGUUGUGAGACUUACUUUUCAUUUGGACGAGUAACCUUAAUAACCAAAUGGGGAAUCCACAAUUUCAUUUACAGAUUGCUCAUUAUCAAAGUAAACUUGCAUGGAUUAUGCUUAUUUCUUAAAGCUUGGUGACUAGGGUUGAUAAACUAUCACCUUAUUGAUGAGAUAUCAACCCAAGUAGUCAACCAUGUGGAUUCUUGCGUUGAACACUAUUUUGGAUUGACGACUACAAGUAAUGAUCCAUAAACACAUUGGCGAGAUGUCAACUCAAGUCAUCAACAUGGUAUAGUCAUGCCUCCAAAAGGUCAACCAAAGUGCACUAGUAAAAGAACAACUAAAAUGCCUCAACUUAAAGGUUGUUUGACAAAUCUGAACAUGAACUUGAAGAAGUCGGACCACAAGGAUAUCACACGAGGUAGAGUAUUCGUCUAAGAGAGCCCACCCCCAGUCUGAAUAGGAAGUGGUAUCUAUUGAGAGCGAGUUGAGCUUUGAACAAGAGAGCUCUAAAGAGGGAGACUCUACUAUAUCCAAAAACCUUGAGGGAGAGGAUAUACAACCUCAUGGUGAUGUGAUUAAGAGUAAGAACCACAAUUUUAAAGAAAGUUUGCAAUGAAAUGUAGAGGGGUCACCCAAAAUCUACUAUGAAGGGUAAGUAACCAUUGGUUAACGCAAAAUGAAAAGAGCUCGAACUGAAGAGCUCAGUAUUAUUACAUCAGGGUUGAGAAUAUACCCCAAAAUUGAGCAAACACUAAAGUUAUAUGAUUUAGGAUGAACCACCAAGGAAGCAAGUUCAUACUAUCUGUCCAGAGCACAUGUUUUAUACAAACUACACAACCACCCUAGAGAAUAUGUGCAAAAAGGGAUAGAAGGUCAUAGACAAACCAAACAUGUAUCGGGUGCCAGUUUAGGAUGUGUCAGUAGAUUUGUCCAAUUGCACUAUUAAUAGAUUCUUGCAUUGAGUAGAUUUUGUACCACCGAAUACUACUCUAGUGUUCUACCAUAGUAUAAAAGGCCAAUCAAAUCAAUGCCCAUGGUUAGCUCAAGUCUUCGUAGAAAGAUAACCAGAAUGGGUGAAUAACCCUACUGCCAAGAUCACACAAGCUUUAUUAACUGAGGUAGCAAAUUUUUGGUCGGGUGUUGUGUGAUUUAGACUGAUGCCAGUGGCAGGAGAUAACACAUUGGGCAAUGACAAAGCAGUAUUGGUAGCGAGUCUGAUGUUUUGGUUCCAACUAAACUUUGGAGAAAUGAUUGCUAAUGAGAUCAAUAUAGGAUUCAAGAGAACAAAUACGACAUAUCUAUUCCUAUAUUUGAUCACAAGGUUAUGUGAGGAUGAUCAUGUCCUUAUAAACACUGGAGUGGAUAAUAGAGUGAAAAUAACAAAGACACAUUCUUUUGAUAGAUCCAGAGAUGAAGAAAGACCCACAUUAAGUUUGGUUAAGAGUUGACACUUUGACUAUAGAUGAUACACAUACACCUAUAGCUACCUAAUGAUCCAUACCUGGUAUACAAGUCUUUUUAUGCUACCUCCUCCACAAGUACUAUACAUACCAUAGAGACUAUAGAAGAGACAUUUAUUAUAACUUCAGUUCUCGAGUAUGCGAUCGCUCCUCAAAACUUUAACAAAAUAAUAAAAUAAGGAAAAAAUUUGAUGCUCA